This 253-nucleotide ribosomal RNA is filed under the name uncultured bacterium. RNAcentral describes it as "partial 16S ribosomal RNA". It matches the Rfam family "Bacterial small subunit ribosomal RNA", at positions 524 to 776 of the family's 1533-position model. The record is from RNAcentral.
UACGGGGGGGGCUAGCGUUGUUCGGAAUUACUGGGCGUAAAGGGCGCGUAGGCGGUUCAUUAAGUUGGAUGUGAAAACUCUGGGCUUAACCCAGAGCCUGCAUUCAAAACUGAUGGGCUGGAGUUCUGGAGGGGAUAGCGGAAUUCCUGGUGUAGCGGUGAAAUGCGUAGAUAUCAGGAGGAACACCGGUGGCGAAGGCGGCUAUCUGGACAGAAACUGACGCUGAGGCGCGAAAGCUAGGGGAGCAAACAGG